UCAGUAAAUAUUAUCGCUGCAAUAGCGUUAAUCACUGAUACAGAUGAACUUAACAGGAACAUCACAGUAGCUGAUCCGGAUUAUUUCAGGUCUACAGGUGUUUUUCCAACUGUAAAACCGUCACCUUGGCCAGCGUUACAAUCCA
Etheostoma spectabile (orangethroat darter) is the source of this 145-nucleotide long non-coding RNA. RefSeq lists it as uncharacterized. NCBI's taxonomy places the organism in Eukaryota, Metazoa, Chordata, Actinopteri, Perciformes, Percidae. The transcript is spliced from 4 exons. The record is from RefSeq and is a predicted model, not a curated record.